This 120-nucleotide ribosomal RNA is filed under the name uncultured bacterium. RNAcentral's name for it is "partial 16S ribosomal RNA". It matches the Rfam family "Bacterial small subunit ribosomal RNA", at positions 796 to 916 of the family's 1533-position model. The record is from RNAcentral.
CACGCCCUAAACGAUGAUCACUGGGUGUUGGGGAAGCGAUUCCUUGGUACCGUAGCUAACGCGUGAAGUGAUCCGCCUGGGGAGUACGGUCGCAAGAUUAAAACUCAAAGGAAUUGACGG